Molecule: ribosomal RNA, 743 nt
Filed under: uncultured bacterium
Lineage: Bacteria
Description: bacterial SSU rRNA
Rfam family: Bacterial small subunit ribosomal RNA
Source: RNAcentral
AGCGGCAGAUGGGUGAGUAACACGUGGGGAACCUGCCCCUAAGUCUGGGAUACCAUUUGGAAACAGGUGCUAAUACCGGAUAAUAAAGCAGAUCGCAUGAUCAGCUUUUGAAAGGCGGCGUAAGCUGUCGCUAAGGGAUGGCCCCGCGGUGCAUUAGCUAGUUGGUAAGGUAACGGCUUACCAAGGCGACGAUGCAUAGCCGAGUUGAGAGACUGAUCGGCCACAUUGGGACUGAGACACGGCCCAAACUCCUACGGGAGGCAGCAGUAGGGAAUCUUCCACAAUGGACGCAAGCCUGAUGGAGCAACGCCGCGUGAGUGAAGAAGGUUUUCGGAUCGUAAAGCUCUGUUGUUGGUGAAGAAGGAUAGAGGUAGUAACUGGCCUUUAUUUGACGGUAAUCAACCAGAAAGUCACGGCUAACUACGUGCCAGCAGCCGCGGUAAUACGUAGGUGGCAAGCGUUGUCCGGAUUUAUUGGGCGUAAAGCGAGCGCAGGCGGAAAAAUAAGUCUAAUGUGAAAGCCCUCGGCUUAACCGAGGAACUGCAUCGGAAACCGUUUUUCUUGAGUGCAGAAGAGGAGAGUGGAACUCCAUGUGUAGCGGUGGAAUGCGUAGAUAUAUGGAAGAACACCAGUGGCGAAGGCGGCUCUCUGGUCUGCAACUGACGCUGAGGCUCGAAAGCAUGGGUAGCGAACAGGAUUAGAUACCCUGGUAGUCCAUGCUGUAAACGAUGAGUGCUAAGUGU